RNAcentral lists this long non-coding RNA (2568 nucleotides) under Sus scrofa (pig). RNAcentral's name for it is "lncRNA (ENSSSCG00035000664.1)". Lineage: Eukaryota; Metazoa; Chordata; Mammalia; Artiodactyla; Suidae. The record is from RNAcentral.
UGCGACAACACUGGAUCCUUUAACCCACUGCAUGGAGCCAGGGAUCAAACCUAUGCCUCCUCAGCAAUCCAAGCCACUGCAGUCAAAUCUUAACCCACUGCACCACAUGGGAAAUCCAACAUCUGAGUGUCUUUAUAUAUAAACUUAUUUAAGUAAAUAAAGUGAGUUAUUUUAAAGCCUGAUGCUAAGCCAAUCCUGAACCAGGUGGCUGGGACACUACCUGUCUAGCCACAGUAGAGCCCAGGUCUAAAGUAAGCAAAAGGAAGCUGACUGGAAAAAAGCAGAAAGGUAAAGUCUUGUCAAAACGCAAGAAGCCUCGUGGCAGGGUAAACAUUUUGGAAAAUAUUUUGUAGGUCUGUUUUCCAAGUGUCUGCAAAGCCAAAUUCCUUGGAAAUAUGUUCUUUGUGCAUGAGUGUGGCAUCUCUCUCAUUUUCCAGAGUGCAUGAAAUAUGCCAAUCUUCAAUUCUGUUAUUCAAAGUUAAAGGCAAAGUUGAAAAAAGCAAAUACAACUUCAUGCUGCAUGCAAAAUAUAAAAGUGCAACCAUAAAUACCGUUUUAAUUUUUAAAAACUUUAUAUCAUUUGAGGAGUUCCCCUAGAAGCUCAGUGGAAAGGAAUCUGACUAGCAUCCAUGAGGAUGUAGGUUCAAUCGCUGGCCUCACUCAAUAAGUUAAGGAUCUGGCAUUGUCAUGAGUGUGGUGUAGGUCACAGAUGCAGCUCAGAUCUGGUGUUGCUGUGGCCGUGGCGUAGGCCAGCAGCUACAGCUUAAAUUUGACCCCUAGCCUGGGAACCUCCAUAUGCCCCAGGUACAGCCCUAAAAAAACAAAACAAAACAAAAUUUGUAUCAUUUAAGAUCUGAUCAUAAAACAGAGGAUACAUAAAACACUCACCUGGGGUAAUCGGUAAAACUAUUUACAGAGGUGUGGGGAAACCAAGGGUUAAUGCAAUGUAUGGGGCUAAGGGAGGAAGAACCCACUGAGAAAGUCCACAUAGGAGAACCUACCAGGCACCAAGCUGAGUAUAAAGGGAUAAAUGGAAGAUAACCAGCACAGAAACAAGGCUAUUUUCAAAUAUUUUCAAACAUUUGCUGGGUAUUUAUUUACCACUGUGUAAUCACUAGCUUUAGGCUGGGCUGUGGACUACAGAGAUUAAGAGGGCAGAUAGCUUGGACUCAGCUUGCCACUCAUCAGCUAUGUGAGUUUCUUAUGUCACUGAACUUAGUUUAUUUGGUAAAAUGAGGGACAAAAGCAGUAUUCAUCCUAACACUGGUGUGAGAAGCCAAAGAGUAAAUGUAUUUAUGUUGAUGCUAGAAAGAUAUUACCAGAAUUCAGGUUCUUGUUCAUGCAGCCAAAGAAUGAACUCUGGAACACACAGGCAGCAAGCAAGCAAAAUCUUUAUUAUAAGAAAACAAAUAGCUCCCAGGACAGCUGGGAAGGGGUAGAAGAGCCCCCCUCUCUAUUGUCUUAUAGGGGUUUUUAUCCCUUAAAGAUGGGGGUUACCAAUGUGGGGUACAGAAAGAUGUGGGUUUUUUUCCUCAUUGGCUUUGCCCAAUUACCUAUAUCAGUCCUUGUCCAAUAGGGGUCUUGGAGUGGAAAUGUCCCGUAAGUCUCAUGGUUUCUUUGCCCUUCUCUUCCCGUAAACUGAGUCACAGGGGGUUAGAGAUUAAUGUCCAUCCGGGCAAAGGUACACUCCCUGUAGUAAACAAGGCCUGUGGGGAUGUUACUCUCUGGAAUCUUUAAGCCACAAAUGUUAAUCAAUACAUAUCAAAGAAGGCAUCAAAGCCCAUGCUCCUACAAUGACCACAUGAGUUAUUAUUCUGUCUCAAUGUUAGCCACGAAAAUGUUCAAGAGAAACCUAUGGGAAAAAGCUUAAAAUUGUGGAAAUUCUAAAUUUAAACUGAAUUAAAUUAGUAUUUCAUAUGACUUGGUCAAAAAUAUUCUAUGUAAUUGACAGAACAUCUGCAAGGCCUCCAAAGCUGUAAAAUGAUCUAGACUAGCAGAGGUGGGUAGGGGUGAUGGUUGUGAUCAGUAAUGGUGGUAAAACCGAGCAGAAUCCUAUGGGGCUUUCCCAAGUACAAAGUACUAAGUAGAAGUACAAACGCCUUCCCAAGUACUAUGUCCCCUGGCUCUUGUUUAGGGAAAUGCUGAAGUCUUCCAGGCUUCCUAGAGACACAAAAGAGGAGGCUCAAGCAGUUAAUUAUUGGGAUGAUAGAGUCCUACACUCAGCGUCUGAUAAAGAAUGAGAUUAACACUAUUGCUCAUAUGAUCUAUAUCUCUGUGUGCAUUAGAAUAAUUGUAGCUUGUUCUGCUCAUAUAUGUUAGCAGGCAACUAAAAUUGUCAGCAAAGAGAUGAUACAGAUCCAUGUUGACAUCUUCCAUUCUAAGAAUAAAAUGCCCCCUAGGUCAGCAUGAAGUUACAGAAGACAGACCUUUGCCCCAGAUGCAUAAAACGGGAAUGAUGUCUGAUGGGAUUUGUCAGCAGCUCAUUUGCCCCUUUUCCGCUUGUUCAUUUCUGUUUUCCUCGGACCUCAAUCAUAAAGAUGAAAUCAUUAGGCAACAUUUAACCUAAGU